UAAUACGUAGGGGGCAAGCGUUGUCCGGAUUUAUUGGGCGUAAAGCGCGCGUAGGCGGCGCGGUAUGUCGUGCGUGAAAUCUCCCGGCUUAACUGGGAGGGGCCGUGCGAAACUGCCGGGCUUGAGGUCGGAAGGGGAAAGUGGAAUUCCGGGUGUAGUGGUGGAAUACGUAGAUAUCCGGAGGAACACCAGCGGCGAAGGCGGCUUUCUGGUCCGAUACUGACGCUGAGGUGCGAAAGCGUGGGGAGCGAUCCGGAUUAGAUACCCGGGUAGUCCACGCCGUAAACGAUGAGUACUAGGUGUCGGGGGUAUCGACCCCCUCGGUGCCGUCGCUAACGCAUUAAGUACUCCGCCUGGGGACUACGGCCGCAAGGCUA
This 377-nucleotide ribosomal RNA is filed under the name uncultured bacterium. RNAcentral's name for it is "bacterial SSU rRNA". It matches the Rfam family "Bacterial small subunit ribosomal RNA", at positions 521 to 896 of the family's 1533-position model. The record is from RNAcentral.